GAUGAAGAACGUAGCGAAAUGCGAUAAGUAAUGUGAAUUGCAGAUUUCAGUGAAUCAUCGAAUCUUUGAACGCACAUUGCGCCCGCCAGUAUUCUGGCGGGCAUGCCUGUCUGAGCGUCAUUUCAACCCUCAUGCCCCUAGGGCGUGGUGUUGGGGAUCGGCCAAAGCCCGCGAGGGACGGCCGGCCCCUAAAUCUAGUGGCGGACCCGUCGUGGCCUCCUCUGCGAAGUAGUGAUAUUCCGCAUCGGAGAGCGACGAGCCCCUGCCGUUAAACCCCCAACUUUCCAAGGUUGACCUCAGAUCAGGUAGGAAUACCCGCUGAACUUAAGCAUAUCAAUAAGCGGAGGA
Molecule: unclassified non-coding RNA, 348 nt
Filed under: soil metagenome
Description: partial contains 5.8S ribosomal RNA, internal transcribed spacer 2, and large subunit ribosomal RNA
Rfam family: 5.8S ribosomal RNA (bases 1-120)
Source: RNAcentral